CAAAUGCCCUAAGACAGCAAAGGCGCAAAUUCGUUAAACAAGACGUAGGAAAAAGGCCAAAAAGGAGAAGCAGCGCGAUAACUGCUAGGGUUUCUCUCGUCUGCAAACUUCCCCCGGUAUCAUUGACAACAUGUCUCGUGUGUAUGUGGGUAACUUGGACCCUCGAGUUUCUGAGCGUGAUCUUGAAGAUGAAUUUCGCAGAUUUGGAGUUAUAAGAAGUGUAUGGGUUGCACGGAGGCCUCCAGGUUAUGCAUUUAUUGACUUUGAUGAUAAAAGGGAUGCGGAGGAUGCAAUUCAUGAAUUAGAUGGUAAAAAUGGUUGGAGAGUUGAGCUUUCUCACAACUCUAGAGGUGGUGGUGGUGGCCGUGGAGGGGGUCGUGGUCGAUCUGGUGGUUCUGAUUUGAAGUGUUAUGAAUGUGGUGAACCUGGUCAUUUUGCACGCGAAUGCCGUUUGCGUGUUGGUGGUGGAAGACGACGUAGCCGCAGCCCUAGAUAUCGUAGGAGUCCAAGCUAUGGUCGAAGGAGCUACAGUCCCCGUGGACGAUCCCCCAAACGCCGCAGCAUUUCACCUCGUGGCCACAGCUAUAGCAAGUCUCCACCAUACCGUGGUCGUGAGGAGCUGCCUUAUGCCAAUGGAUGAACCAGAUCAUAGAACCCAGGUGGUCCAGCGAAUCUGGCAACUAUGGGUCGGUAGUUUGGUGGAAGGAAAUGGUACAAGGGAUAGACGCCGAAGCAGGAGCUGAGAUUUGCAACCUACAUAUAAAUAGCUUUGCUGGAUGCUAAGAUUAAGUGUGUUUAUUAUGUUUGGACUUCAGUACGACUAUGUUUUAAAUGGGCAACGCCCUCAGCCUCUUGGAUUUGGAUAAGUUUCUUAUACUUAUUACUAUUUGGUUACUUUUCUUAAGGUAUGCAGAAUAGGUUUAGGACUUUUGCUGGCUAAACUUUCAAUAGGUAUUUUUUAUGAGUUUAUUGAGACAAAUUGUCCCUAAGACUGGUGCUAAAAAAUUUAUGCUUUUCUUUU
This is an RNA transcript of Hevea brasiliensis (rubber tree), 1021 nucleotides long. It is a transcript of the gene named serine/arginine-rich splicing factor RSZ22A, with no coding region annotated. The transcript has 7 exons. Lineage: Eukaryota; Viridiplantae; Streptophyta; Magnoliopsida; Malpighiales; Euphorbiaceae. The record is from RefSeq and is a predicted model, not a curated record.